GACUCGGUAGCUCAGCUGGUAGAGCAACGCCCUUUUAAGGCGUGGGUCCUGGGUUCGAGCCCCAGCCGGGUCA
This 73-nucleotide transfer RNA is filed under the name Flavobacteriaceae bacterium. RNAcentral's name for it is "tRNA-Lys". It matches the Rfam family "tRNA". Rfam says of the family: Transfer RNA (tRNA) molecules are approximately 80 nucleotides in length. Their secondary structure includes four short double-helical elements and three loops (D, anti-codon, and T loops). Further hydrogen bonds mediate the characteristic L-shaped molecular structure. tRNAs have two regions of fundamental functional importance: the anti-codon, which is responsible for specific mRNA codon recognition, and the 3' end, to which the tRNAs corresponding amino acid is attached (by aminoacyl-tRNA synthetases). tRNAs cope with the degeneracy of the genetic code in two manners: having more than one tRNA (with a specific anti-codon) for a particular amino acid; and 'wobble' base-pairing, i.e. permitting non-standard base-pairing at the 3rd anti-codon position. The record is from RNAcentral. RNAcentral also lists the same sequence under 1 other name. Lineage: Bacteria; Pseudomonadati; Bacteroidota; Flavobacteriia; Flavobacteriales; Flavobacteriaceae.